AGUGAACGCUGGCGGUAGGCCUAACACAUGCAAGUCGAACGGCAGCACAGUAAGCGCUUGCUCUUACGGGUGGCGAGUGGCGGACGGGUGAGGCAUACAUCGGAAUCUACUUUUUCGUGGGGGAUAACGUAGGGAAACUUACGCUACUACCGCAUACGACCUACGGGUGAAAGCAGUGGAUCUUCGGACCUUGCCCGAUUGAAUGAGCCGAUGUCGGAUUAGCUAGUUGGCGGGGUAAAGGCCCACCAAGGCGACGAUCCGUAGCUGGUCUGAGAGGAUGAUCAGCCACACUGGAACUGAGACACGGUCCAGACUCCUACGGGAGGCAGCAGUGGGGAAUAUUGGACAAUGGGCGCAAGCCUGAUCCAGCCAUACCGCGUGGGUGAAGAAGGCCUUCGGGUUGUAAAGCCCUUUUGUUGGGAAAGAAAAGCAGCGGGUUAAUACCCCGCUGUUCUGACGGUACCCAAAGAAUAAGCACCGGCUAACUUCGUG
Molecule: ribosomal RNA, 492 nt
Filed under: uncultured bacterium
Lineage: Bacteria
Description: partial 16S ribosomal RNA
Rfam family: Bacterial small subunit ribosomal RNA
Source: RNAcentral